RNAcentral lists this ribosomal RNA (253 nucleotides) under uncultured bacterium. RNAcentral's name for it is "partial 16S ribosomal RNA". It matches the Rfam family "Bacterial small subunit ribosomal RNA", at positions 524 to 776 of the family's 1533-position model. The record is from RNAcentral.
UACGGGGGGGGCAGGCGUUGUUCGGAAUUACUGGGCGUAAAGGGCGCGUAGGCGGCCAUCUAAGUCAGACGUGAAAUCCCUCGGCUCAACCGAGGAACUGCGUCUGAUACUGGAAGGCUUGAAUCCGGGAGAGGGAUGUGGAAUUCCAGGUGUAGCGGUGAAAUGCGUAGAUAUCUGGAGGAACACCGGUGGCGAAGGCGGCAUCCUGGACCGGUAUUGACGCUGAGGCGCGAAAGCUAGGGGAGCAAACGGG